This 253-nucleotide ribosomal RNA is filed under the name uncultured bacterium. RNAcentral describes it as "partial 16S ribosomal RNA". It matches the Rfam family "Bacterial small subunit ribosomal RNA", at positions 524 to 776 of the family's 1533-position model. The record is from RNAcentral.
UACGUAGGGGGCUAGCGUUGUCCGGAUUUAUUGGGCGUAAAGAGCGUGUAGGCGGUCAGGUAGGUCGGUUGUGAAAACUCGAGGCUCAACCUUCAGAGGUCGACCGAAACCCCCUGGCUAGAGUCCGGGAGAGGAGAGUGGAAUUCCUGGUGUAGCGGUGAAAUGCGCAGAUAUCAGGAAGAACACCCGUGGCGAAAGCGGCUCUCUGGACCGGUACUGACGCUGAGACGCGAAAGCGUGGGGAGCGAACAGG